UACGUAGGGUGCGAGCGUUAAUCGGAAUUACUGGGCGUAAAGCGUGCGCAGGCGGUUAUGUAAGACAGAUGUGAAAUCCCCGGGCUCAACCUGGGACCUGCAUUUGUGACUGCAUGGCUGGAGUACGGCAGAGGGGGAUGGAAUUCCGCGUGUAGCAGUGAAAUGCGUAGAUAUGCGGAGGAACACCGAUAGCGAAGGCAGCUUACUACGCAGAUAUUGACACUGAGGCACGAAAGCGUGGGGAUCAAACAGG
RNAcentral lists this unclassified non-coding RNA (253 nucleotides) under uncultured Gammaproteobacteria bacterium. RNAcentral describes it as "contains 16S-23S intergenic spacer region". It matches the Rfam family "Bacterial small subunit ribosomal RNA", at positions 524 to 776 of the family's 1533-position model. The record is from RNAcentral. Lineage: Bacteria; Pseudomonadati; Pseudomonadota; Gammaproteobacteria.